ACACAUGCAAGUCGAACGAGCCUUCGGGCUAGUGGCGGACGGGUGAGUAACGCGUGGGAAUCUGCCCUCAGGAGGGGGAUAACGGCCGGAAACGGCCGCUAAUACCCCAUAUGCCGAGAGGUGAAAUGAAUUUCGCCUGAGGAUGAGCCCGCGUCUGAUUAGCUAGUUGGUGUGGUAAUGGCGCACCAAGGCUUCGAUCAGUAGCUGGUCUGAGAGGAUGAUCAGCCACACUGGGACUGAGACACGGCCCAGACUCCUACGGGAGGCAGCAGUGGGGAAUUUUCCGCAAUGGGCGCAAGCCUGACGGAGCAACGCCGCGUGAGGGACGAAGGCCUCUGGGCUGUAAACCUCUUUUCUCAAGGAAGAAGACAUGACGGUACUUGAGGAAUAAGCCACGGCUAAUUCCGUGCCAGCAGCCGCGGUAAUACGGGAGUGGCAAGCGUUAUCCGGAAUUAUUGGGCGUAAAGCGUCCGCAGGCGGCCCAGCAAGUCUGUUGUUAAAAAGUGGAGCUUAACUCCAUCCAGGCAAUGGAAACUGCUGGGCUAGAGUGUGGUAGGGGCAGAGGGAAUUCCCGGUGUAGCGGUGAAAUGCGUAGAUAUCGGGAAGAACACCAGUGGCGAAGGCGCUCUGCUGGGCCAUAACUGACGCUCAUGGACGAAAGCCAGGGGAGCGAAAGGGAUUAGAUACCCCUGUAGUCCUGGCCGUAAACGAUGAACACUAGGUGUCGGGGGAAUCGACCCCCUCGGUGUCGUAGCCAACGCGUUAAGUGUUCCGCCUGGGGAGUACGCACGCAAGUGUGAAACUCAAAGGAAUUGACGGGGGCCCGCACAAGCGGUGGAGUAUGUGGUUUAAUUCGAUGCAACGCGAAGAACCUUACCAGGGUUUGACAUCCUGCGAAUCCCUUGGAAACUUGGGAGUGCCUUCGGGAGCGCAGUGACAGGUGGUGCAUGGCUGUCGUCAGCUCGUGUCGUGAGAUGUUGGGUUAAGUCCCGCAACGAGCGCAACCCACGUCUUUAGUUGCCAGCAUUCAGUUGGGCACUCUAGAGAGACCGCCGGUGAUAAACCGGAGGAAGGUGUGGAUGACGUCAAGUCAUCAUGCCCCUUACAUCCUGGGCUACACACGUACUACAAUGCUACGGACAAAGGGCAGCAAACUCGCGAGAGCUAGCAAAUCCCAUAAACCGUGGCUCAGUUCAGAUCGUAGGCUGCAACUCGCCUACGUGAAGGAGGAAUCGCUAGUAAUCGCAGGUCAGCAUACUGCGGUGAAUACGUUCCCGGGCCUUGUACACACCGCCCGUCACACCAUGGAAGUUGGCCAUGCCCGAAGUCGUUACUCCAACCCGUAAGGGAGGAGGACGC
RNAcentral lists this ribosomal RNA (1359 nucleotides) under Synechococcus cf. nidulans LEGE 06322. RNAcentral describes it as "bacterial SSU rRNA". It matches the Rfam family "Bacterial small subunit ribosomal RNA". Lineage: Bacteria; Bacillati; Cyanobacteriota; Cyanophyceae; Synechococcales; Synechococcaceae. The record is from RNAcentral.